AAGUCAACUAGGCCCUUCUGGGGUCUGUUUUGGGCUCCGUCGUCUUCGGCGUUGCCUCGAGAUCAUGUUGCUACAAGCGGACGAGAUCCUUUAGGACCAGCUGCUUUUGUGGCCGCACAAACUUAG
This 126-nucleotide unclassified non-coding RNA is filed under the name uncultured Ascomycota. RNAcentral's name for it is "sequence contains ITS2". Lineage: Eukaryota; Fungi; Ascomycota. The record is from RNAcentral.